Non-coding RNA from Phascolarctos cinereus (koala), 2991 nucleotides. Lineage: Eukaryota; Metazoa; Chordata; Mammalia; Diprotodontia; Phascolarctidae. The record is from RefSeq and is a predicted model, not a curated record.
AGGGGCUGGAAGGACUUCCUGAAGAGCUGUCCUGUGCCAGAGGCUUCUUCUGCUUGGAGCCAGGAAGCAGAGCCAGGAAUUGUGGGGGCAGGAGCUGGGAAGAAAUCUUUACAAUCGAAGUAAGGCAAAGCACCCUACCAGGUAGAACUCUUCCCUACCAAGUGGGACAGGCUGCCUUCAGACGCUGGGGUCCCCCUCACUGUCCAUCUUCAGGCAAAUGUGCUGGGCAUUAGUGUUCAGGUAGGGUCUGGAGUAGAUGACAACCCCUGAGGGCCUGCCCACAGACUUGAGUCUGUGAAAUAUUUGGAGGGAAUUGGAUUUGCUCUGCUUGGCCCUUGGAAAGCUGCACAUCUGGUGCUCUGAGGGCUAGAGGAGAAGAAGGCCUCACUGAGCUGGGCCACCAUGCUUGGCAUGGGCCUUCCUGGACCUGGGACUUCUGGGCAGAGAAAUGAGAAGGCUGGCCUGACUGGGGCUUUGUCCCAGGGUGGUGCCAUCCAUGGAAACACACUUCCUCCCCACUGUGGCUCCAUUCCCAGCCCCACCUAGCUCUUCUCUCAGGGCCUACCUUCCCCCACAGCCAUGCCUGCUGCCUGCAUGCCUUGGGCUUUCAGGCUGGAAUCUCUGGGGGCCAGGCUGAGCCCUAUCCUGGCACAAUGAUACUUGACCAGGGCAGAUGCUGUGUUCCACCCUCCCCUAGGGCAGCAAGAUUCCUAGUUACUGUCCUGCUUCUGGGAACAUUGAACUGGGACUCUCUGGAAAGACAGAAUCUCACUCCUCUCUGUGGCAUCUUUGGGGUGAGAAGAGGGACUGGAAAGCAGGUGGGAAGAAAGAGCUAGAAGACAAAGCAGGAAGAUGGCAGUGGAGGCUGCCGAGAGAAAUUGGAGGUGAAAAGGGCCAGAGCUCUAAAGUGAGGGCCCGGAAGAGCGCAAGGCCUGGAUUGGGGUCCAGAGACUUAAGUUCCACUCCUGAUUCAGUCACUGUGUAACUGAAGGCAAGCGUCAUACUUCUUUUCUGGGCCUCACUUUCCCCAUUUGGAAAACAAGAGGGUUGGGCCAGAAGGUCUCUCCCAUCUAAGGUGACGUCAGUGGAGCUCAUUGAGUAAAGCCGUGACUAGGUCAGACCUCACUUGUGGGAAAAUCACUGGAGCAGCUGAGUGGAGGAGGAAGGCCCUUCAGGAGCACAUGCUCAGCCUUCUGCGAAUGCAUAGCCUGAGAAGAGCCUAUGGAGAAGGGACACAAACGUUGUCUUUGAGCCUCGGAAGGGCGGCUGUCAGGUAGAAGAGAGAUCAGCCUUGUUCUCCAUGGCCCAGAAGGCAGAGCCAGCAGCUGGAAGGGGAAGUCACAGAGGCAGCUCCAUCAUACGCCCCACCCCACCGUCUGGGAGGUUGCCUUGCAAGGUCAUUCUCUAUCAUCGGAGGCCUUCCACUGGAGGCUUGGAUGAUGCUUCUCAUGUGUAUGUUGUCCGGGGGAUUUCUGCUCAGGUCCGGUUCUGAGGUCCAUUCCCACUGUGAGGUACUGAACUUCUGCACAGAUCCCUGGUUAGAGAUUCCGGAGCUCUGCUAGUUAGGGAAGGAGGCAGCCUUGGGCCCAAUGCAGGAUUUCACUGGAUCCUUACUGAUGGUCAGGGGUGAUUGGGUGGAAGGGGUUCUGCACAGCCUCCGUAUGGUCAGGGCCCCAGACCUAUUGAGCUGCCAAGCAGGCUGCUCCCAUGUGUCCCAGGGGCCUGGAUUUCUUCCCCCUUGGCUGGCCCCUUCCCUCCCUGCAAACUUCCUGGCCUGGCCUCCAGGUUUGCCCAACAAUGCGGCCAGGGCUCCCCCAGGGCCUUUUGGGCUCUCCCUCUCCCCUACUGUGCUCUGCUCUGACCCCAAUCCCGGCUCCAGCUCUGCUGAGUGAGCUGGCUGCAUCCCCUUAGCAGCCCCUGCCCCCCACCCAGCCGCUCACCAAGGACUGGGGGAAGCACAUUCCACAGUUUGAUAGCUCCCCACACUCCUUCCUGGGGCUGCGGCCAAUGACGCAAUGGCAGCUGUUCAGGAAUGCAGGUUGUGUGAGUGUGUACGAGUGUGUGAGUGGGGGAGUGCGCAAGUGUGGGAGCAAGCAGUGUGUUUGUGUGUGUGUGUGUGUGUGUGUGUGCGCGCGCACGCCCACGCGUGUGAGUAUGUGUGUAAGAGAGAAAGAGGGGAGGAAGCUGUCCACUGAGCCAUCCUGGGGUUGAAUCUGGAGUUGGGCUUUUGGAGAGGUCUAUCCUCAGGGAAAAAUCACUACCCCAAGGUCUGCAGGAGGGGAUAGGCCAUUUCCCAGGAGCCUUUGCCUGACACAGUAACAUUUCUUCCCCAUGUGGCUAGGCCAGCAGGACCAGGCCCAGUUCUCCUUAGGGCAAAAUGAGUUCUGGUUCCCAUCGAUAGCUUGGGGUCCUGGUUGCCUGAGAAGAGUGGGGUCAGCUCCUUUUUCACCCUGUCCUCUCAGUUUCUCCCUUUGUAAAAUGGGGGUGAACCCAAGGAUACUACUUCUCAAACUUUUCAGAACCUUGGGGGAGGGGGCAGGAAGAGCAGCCACCCCCCCACCCACUCCUGCUUGGCCCAGCUCCAAACCCCAAAUGAUCUUGUGGCACUUGGGCUGGCUAAAUAACCUGAAAAAAAUCUGUUCAUUGUUGGGAUUUUUAAUAGCGAUCUGGCUCAGUCUCGGAAAAGACAUUUUCAAAAACCACCACCACCAACCACCAUGAUGCAUUUUUGCAUGUCUUGAAUUUUGAACUGGCCCAUGGACCACUUGAAUGCCUUGCGGACCACCAAUGUGCCCCAGACCACCCCCUGAGAACCACUGCCCUGUAGGGUACCUAGACAGGGGUCUUAGCCUCCAAGCAGGGUCCUAGAGCGAGCUCAAGCACAAGAGUGGCUGAGUCAGCGGGAGCAAAGAGGGGGAGAGCUGGCACGAAGCUCUGACAGUUUUCCAAGGAGAGUGAUGAGGGCCAGUGCCAGGCAGUGGGGACAGAGGG